AGUGACGUCACUCCUGGCCGCGGGGGCGCUGCGCGUGCGCCUGGAGUCGUGCGCGCUUCCCGCUGCCCUGAGGGUGGUGAGGUGGUGGGGUCGCGCUUCGCCGAGGGGAGCGGGUGUGAGCUCCAUAGCUUGGUGUCACCUGGGAUUUGUGGUGUCGGAACGCGCACAAUAAAAAUGCCUUUACCUGAUAAAAGCCCCUGAGUGCGCACGAGGCCCAAGGGGCGCUGUGCCGUCGUUCCUUUAAGCGAUGGCGGCGGUCAGUCUGACUAGCGGCAGGUCAGGCGGGGACGCCUUCCCUGGGCCGGGCAGGUGGAACACACGCCCUGCCCACGGAACGGCCGGAUUGGAGCUCUUUUCAGUUCUCUUAAAUGAGAGGAAUUGGGUUUUCCCCGUCGGACUGGACAUAAUUGCGUUCUGGUAGUAUAAUGAACAUGGUGAAGGGUCUGGAGGGGAAGCCGUUCGUGGAGUACCUUUUGUGUUACUACUUCAUUGUACCUCAUGCCUUUUGUGGUAUGAGGUCACUUGGGUUGCUCAGCCUGGAGGAGAUUGAAGUCAGACACUGUGGUCUUGGAACUUCCUCAUGAGGGCCAGUAGAGGGGCAGACACUGAUCUCUGCUCCGGUGACUAGUGAUGGGACUUGGGAAUGGCUGAAGUUGUGUCAGGAGACAUCUGGGUUGGAUAUAAGGAAAAGAUUCUUCCCCAGAGGGUGGUUGGGCACUGAAGAGGCUCCCCAAGGAAGUGAUCACAACACUAAGCUUGACAGAGCUCAAGGAAUCUUUGGACACAGCUUUCAGGCACAUGGUGAGAUUUGUGGGACUGUCCUGUGUAGUACUAGGAGCUGGACUCAGUCAUUGUGGGUCCUUUACAACUAAGGAUUUUCUAAUUCUGUUUCCGUUUUUUUCAGCAACAUUAGUGAUGGCAAUAUCAGUAUUGCAGUUGACCAGUCUUGCACAGAUGCCCCCACAAAUACUGUGGUAACUGAUGUGACCCUUAUGGGAGGACUGCAUAAAGAAAUCUUUAGAAGUUCUAACCAUUAUAGUAUGAGGAUUUAACUGCUACUAAUCAAGACAGGAAGGAAUGCAUCCAAUUAGUAGUUUAUCAGGUGAAGUUCUGCUGAUGGAAAGUUCCUUGACCUGGUGAGGCCUAAAACAUUAAUUAUUAAUAAAUUAAUGUAUUAAACAUUGUUCCAGUCGAAUUACCUUAGAGAGGCUGUGUCUAAAUUGUUGAAGCUUUGCGUUGAGGAUUUCCCCAUCUCCAAAGAGUGAAUUGCCUCCUGCUGAUCUCAGCUCUGUUAUUCUUGAGACUAAGUGCGACAAUUCAAUCACAGAAGUCAGAUAUUAAAUAGUCAGUGUUUAAGUGUAUAGUAUGGCAUUUAACGGAUCCCUAAGAGUCAUGGUGAAAUUGGACUUUUGCUUACUGCAGGAUCUAAAGGGACAUGAGAGAAACAGAAAAAAAGAUCAUGCAUAGAACAACAGUUACACCCAUGGAUCAUAAACCAUGAAAUAGACCAUAAAAAUGAUAAGAAAGCUUAUCCAAAUUACAAUUGUUUGAACACAAAGCCCCCUAAGAAAGCAAGCACUAUGAUCAUUCUCAUACAGAACAAACCACUGCUGAGGUAAAACCUUUUGGCUGGUAGUAAUACAAUGAAAAUACUAAUCUUAGCUGUUAAUCCUUUUGAUUUAUAGGUAUUACAUAAAUCAUGCUGCUGAUUUUUCCAAGCCUGCUGUUAGGAUUUGUUGCAUACUGUUCACCUGGAGAGAAUGGCCUGUUGGGAAUUCCUGACUAUUUUUGGGAAUACUUCAGAUGUAAUAUGGACUGCAAAUGUGAGCUUGAAAGUCACAUCAGCAUCUGAAGUCCUUAUCAUGCAGCACUUUCUGACAUGAGGAUUACAGUUCGCUGGAACUUCUGAUGAGACAGUGUCACAGAAGAACCUAAUCUGGGACUUAACCUGGGAUGCAAAACAUCAAAUUCCUGCAGCUCUGCUACAGCCAUCAUAAAGCACCUUAAGCAAAUCAUCCUGCCUCCAUUCCCAUCUCUAACAAUGGGAAAAUAAUUUCUUUCACCAUUCUUUAUUAGUUCAUUAAUUCAGUGGGACAGUGAGUAUGUCCUAUGGCUUAAAUGCCACAUGCUUAAUGCUGUAGGCAUAUUUUAGCACUUUGCUUAGACACCUACAGACCCUAGUACUUCUGUACUCAGCAGCAGCAACACUACAUUGGUUCACAACAACUAAAUGCAGAGUAUAUAUAAAUUUGACUAAGGUAGGUGCUAUGCUUUUUCAUUUCUCAAGAAAAAUAACUGUUCUCAUGAAAUAAAAAAAAAUAACGGAACUAUUAUUACUACAAAAAUGCAGUUUUUCAGCUGUUAAGUCAGCAGGAAAUCUACUGUUACACUUUUUGUAAGAUCACUCCCUUCACCUGAUCACAGGGUAGUGGAUAACUUGCACUUACAUUAACUAUAUUUUAAGCCAUUCUAGCACUUUCCAUAAACAUUUUACCAUUUUGGGUUAUUAUAUUCUGUUGUUUUCCUGCAUGUAGAUAAUCCUGGACCCUGAGAAAUGAGGCUUCUAGAACUCAUUUAACAAGUUUACUAAUAGCAGUGUUAUGCUGUGAGAAUGUUCCUCAGUACAGCCAUGUGUCUCAAUUAUAUUAAUCUAUUUCUCAGACUUAAAAACAAUUAAAGUAAUCAUAAGGCACAUGCAGCCUUGUUUGAGAAAGUGUAUUUGAAAAUCAAAUGCUUCUCCCCACCCCUGCAUAGCUCCAGUUGACAGUCAAAAAUAAUUCAUCAGUAAGAGGGAAAAUGCUAUUUGUCACAUAUGACUUAGGCCAGUUUCCAAGUGCUUCAAAUAGAAGAAAAGAAACACUACAAAAAGAAAUAUGACAGGUCUACACUGCCACAUAAGUUUUUAAUUAAGAAAUUUAAAGGGAACUAAAUCUAAUUUUAAAAAACAUUAUUCUGUCAUUGUAAUCCAUAUGAACUCCCAGUCUGUUACUAGUAUAUUUUCUUAGCCAUGUGCCUGACAAUUAACUGGACAAUCUAGCUCUGCCUCAAUAAACGUAUUUCCUUCUAUCAGAUUUCCUCCCCUCUCACCAAUUUCACUGGAUGCUCUCCUUUGAACUUUUACUAUACUCAUAGGACUCAGAACUCAUGACUUGCAUUCCUUACUUCAUCACUAUAUACAGUUUCUGUCCCUACACGUCUUUGUGUACUUUCUGAUUGAAGCAGCUGUAGUCUGAUUUCAGUCUCAUUUGAUUUUUCAGUGGUUAUAAGGUUAUACUUUCUUCAGAGAAAAAUAUAUCAGCUGCACUAACACAUUGCAUCAGUCACCCUCCUGAAGAACAACAUGAAAUGUAAUUCACCUUGCUCACUUGGAUACUGUUUUUCAUUGUCAUAUGCAAUGGUAUGCUGGAUGGGAUAGUGUUCAACUGGAAGUUUCAUUAAGCAGCUCUUGGACACCAUUAAAGUGUUCUAAUAGGUGUGACUUAUUGAGCGGAAGAGUCGGUAAACAAAUGAAGUAUAAGUGACAGUACGAGACCAGAGUAACAGUAAUUAGCGAUGUGACUCCAUGAGUAAUAGGAAAAUUGCCCUGACCCAGUUGAUGGCAAUAGCAAUGAAAUCUUAAAAAAAAAAUUUAAAAAAAUUUCCCCAAAUGGGUUUUCUACCAACACUUACAAGAGUCAUGAGCAACCUUUCUGAUUGCCACACAACCCAUUUCACUCAUAUUCCACUCCAGCUGUGUUAGGACACAGUGGCAGGUGUGCUCCCCAUGUUGUCCAGAGCCAGGCGCAGGGGUGGAAGAAGGACGGGCUGGCAGCACUGUCCCAGCACCUGCAGCUGCUUGGUACAGAUCUGCCAGGCAUCGGGGCUUCACAGGCAGCCUCCAGCAACCUUCCGUUCUCUGCAGAGCACCAGCACUUGGGUGGGAACCCUGCUUACUUCAGCUGUGUGGAGUUCACACUGUCACCCUCUGCCUUGCCAGGAGCCAUGCACAGUCCUGGCUGAGCUGCCACACCUUGCCUGGUGUUCUGCACGCGGUUGCACAAAGGCCUACCAGGUGUACAAUGGUUUAUCGAUAUCCUGCCUCCGAUCAAUGUUCCACAUUUAUCCCACGCUACCCUCACCUCAGUGCCAACACAAACAUUUCAGAGAACCUAGAUUAAUGAGAGCAUAACAAAAACAAAUCUGAUCUGUCUGUGCAUGCUUUUUGUCUCUUGGAAUCACAUCACAUAUGAUUUUCCACCUCUCCUGAAUAAAGAGGAAUGUUAUAAAACAGAAAUCAGAGCAUUUUAAUGCAAAAAUAGAAUUAUCCCUCAGUAUGUGCAUGAAAAAACGAUUUUAUUUCUUUGAUGAAAAUACCAUUCACAAAAAACCCCCACCAAGCUACCAGCUGCUCUCCAAUAGAUGACAUGACCAAGAAAAAUUUCCUGGUAAGUGCCAUAAAUAAAACUAGUUUUAUUUCUCUUUUCAUAUCCUAGCAGUGUAGGCCUCAAUGGGAUCCUAUGGGGGUAAUAUCCUGGAAUAUAAUAAUGCCAAAAAAAAAAUAGAAAUAGUAUGUACACUACAAGACAAAACACAUGCACACAAAAUCAAUACUCUGAAUUUCAGGGCUCCUGAUUGCUCAAACAACUGACAGGAAAUUCACUGGUUUCAGUGCAAUUGUAAAAUGUCUGAAGAAAUACUUGGAAAGUAUGAACAGAGAAAAAAUCACAUAAAAACAAGUGGUAUUGUCUGUGUGUGGAGAGAGGCAAUGAAACUGACUGUAAUAAGAUACCUAGUAAUAUGUUUUACAAAAUAAUACAAGGUUUGGAAAGGGAACGGAAAAAUAUGCAAAUAUAAUACAAUGUACAAAAAAUACUCACUUUGAGAGUCUAUUUUGUUUGAGGUACAAUUAAAAAGUUUUUAUCAACCUACAAAUAUUCGUAACCAGUUUAUGAGUUGGUUGUUCUUUAGUCAUCCAAGGAAAGGAGUAAUCAGUAGAUGAAGUCUGGCUGAUGCAGACUCCAGAUACAGCACGUCUUCAGCACUGGUUAUAAUUAACCACUAGACUAACUUACAACACAGUUCCUGCUUUCCUCUUCAGAUCUAGAUAAAAUUACUGCUGUAAUUCAAAAAGAAAAUAUAGCUACCAGAGCAGAAAGGUGUGGAGGAGCGGAGAGGCGGCCCCAUCCCAAGACCUGCGGGGUGUGACUCCUUGUGCCUGCACCGCGCUCCGCUGCCCGAGUGACAGGUCCCAGCUCUCGCCGGCUCUUCCAGCGGCAGCUCCUCCCUUCUGGCCAGAUGGACAGCACAGCUUGGACUUGGGCUCCGGCUCCGGGGGACCCGGCUCGGGGCAGAAAGCAGCCUGUUAUAGCCGGGACGCCUCCGCUGCGGCUCACACGUACGCGCUCCGCUGCCGGGACCCGCACCCCCGCCCGCCGCUGCCCAUGGCACCGCUGUCCCCGCUGCUGCUGCUGCUGCUGCU
Cyanistes caeruleus (blue tit) is the source of this 5458-nucleotide non-coding RNA. Lineage: Eukaryota; Metazoa; Chordata; Aves; Passeriformes; Paridae. The record is from RefSeq and is a predicted model, not a curated record.